UCUCUCUGAAUCUGCGAACGGCUCCGCAAACCAGUUGUAAACUAUAGCAAGCAAGCGUAGCCCUGGCCUUCACGGGUUGGGACUGGGCGAUAUGGAUAACCCUGGUAAUUCUGAGGCUAAUACAAGAACGUAACCCCUGGUUAACCGGCUUCGGCUGGGAGGCUGGGAAACGUGCGAAUGCGGCGCAGAUGAACCGGGAAUGGACGCACGUUUAGACCACGCACAAAAGGAUCAGGUACCUCACGGAAGGAAAGCCUGGCCCCAGUGGCUCUUGCGGUGUGCUUCUGACCUAUCAACUAGACGGCAGCGUAACGGACAUGCUAUGGUUACAACGGGUACAGAGGAUAAGGGUUCGAUCCUGGAGAGUGGGCCUGAGAGAUU
This 381-nucleotide ribosomal RNA is filed under the name uncultured myxomycete. Its description in RNAcentral is "SSU rRNA". It matches the Rfam family "Eukaryotic small subunit ribosomal RNA", at positions 76 to 405 of the family's 1831-position model. The record is from RNAcentral. Lineage: Eukaryota; Evosea; Eumycetozoa.